This 464-nucleotide ribosomal RNA is filed under the name uncultured bacterium. RNAcentral describes it as "bacterial SSU rRNA". It matches the Rfam family "Bacterial small subunit ribosomal RNA", at positions 791 to 1253 of the family's 1533-position model. The record is from RNAcentral.
UAGUCCACGCCGUAAACGAUGUCUACUAGCCGUUGGGAGACUUGAUUUCUUAGUGGCGCAGCUAACGCACUAAGUAGACCGCCUGGGGAGUACGGCCGCAAGGUUAAAACUCAAAUGAAUUGACGGGGGCCCGCACAAGCGGUGGAGCAUGUGGUUUAAUUCGAUGCAACGCGAAGAACCUUACCAGGUCUUGACAUCCAGAGAACUUUCCAGAGAUGGAUUGGUGCCUUCGGGAGCUCUGUGACAGGUGCUGCAUGGCUGUCGUCAGCUCGUGUCGUGAGAUGUUGGGUUAAGUCCCGUAACGAGCACAACCCUUGUCCUUAGUUGCUAGCAGGUAAUGCUGAGAACUCUAAGGNGACUGCCGGUGACAACUGGAGGAAGGUGGGGGACGACGUCAAGUCAUCAUGGCCCUUACGACCUGGGGCUACACACGUGCUACAAUGGAACGCACACACCGCCCGUCU